RNAcentral lists this long non-coding RNA (660 nucleotides) under Cricetulus griseus (Chinese hamster). RNAcentral describes it as "lncRNA (ENSCGRG00000025460.1)". The record is from RNAcentral. Lineage: Eukaryota; Metazoa; Chordata; Mammalia; Rodentia; Cricetidae.
GAAGUGAUGAGUUGUCAUUGUCGUCUUAAGCCACAAGGUUGUGGGGUGGCUUGUUCCCCAGCACUGGAAAACAAAACCUGCUGAGACUUGAUUUCCUGGACGUUGGCCCAGCCAUGGGAAGAAGUGAAAGGCAUUUGUGACAUGGAGGCAUGAGAUGGCCACGUCCAGAUCAGCGCAGCUGAAGAAGCUCAUUGCCAAGCAAGGAGACGGAUCACCAAAGACAUCAUUUUACUGCUACUUGGCCUGUGCUGUGUGGAAGCUGUAUCCAUCAAGGAUCUCCAGAGGAAGAGACCAGUGGAGUAAAGGCAUAUUAAAAGGAGAUUCCCUGGACUGGCUUGCACGGCACAAGCUAGGAGGUCCAGCUAUGGCUGUCUGCAUUCUGGAGAGUCUGGAAACCCAGUAGCUCCCCCAGUUCAUGAAGCUGAAAACCUCAGCAGUCCCAAUAUGACACUGAAAACCUUGAGGAUCCCUGGAGAGUCCCUGGUCUUUGGUCUACAUUUGAAGGCUGAGAAGGCUGGGUUCUGGUGUCUGCAAAGACAGUGGCAGCUACAGAGUAGAUGCACUCACCAGCAGGGAAUGAAGGUGAGCAGGUAAAGAACGGUACUGCUUUUCCCCUCCAACCUCUUCAAACUUGGGUCACAAUCAGGGAAAGCUGCCCAC